Molecule: ribosomal RNA, 254 nt
Filed under: uncultured bacterium
Lineage: Bacteria
Description: partial 16S ribosomal RNA
Rfam family: Bacterial small subunit ribosomal RNA
Source: RNAcentral
UACAGAGGGUGCAAGCGUUAAUCAGAAUUACUGGGCGUAAAGAGCGCGCAGGCGGUCGUUCAAGUCGCGUGUGAAAGCCCCCGGCUCAACUGGGGAGGGUCACGCGAUACUGAUCGACUCGAAGGCAGGAGAGGGUAGUGGAAUUCCCGGUGUAGUGGUGAAAUGCGUAGAUAUCGGGAGGAACACCAGUGGCGAAGGCGACUACCUGGCCUGUUUCUUGACGCUGAGGCGCGAAAGCUAGGGGAGCAAACGGG